Molecule: ribosomal RNA, 253 nt
Filed under: uncultured bacterium
Lineage: Bacteria
Description: partial 16S ribosomal RNA
Rfam family: Bacterial small subunit ribosomal RNA
Source: RNAcentral
UACGUAGGGUGCAAGCGUUAAUCGGAAUUACUGGGCGUAAAGCGUGCGCAGGCGGUUUUGUAAGACAGAUGUGAAAUCCCCGGGCUCAACCUGGGAACUGCAUUUGUGACUGCAUCGCUAGAGUACGGCAGAGGGGGGUGGAAUUCCGCGUGUAGCAGUGAAAUGCGUAGAGAUGCGGAGGAACACCGAUGGCGAAGGCAGCCCCCUGGGCCAAUACUGACGCUCAGGCACGAAAGCGUGGGGAGCAAACAGG